This 497-nucleotide ribosomal RNA is filed under the name uncultured bacterium. RNAcentral describes it as "partial 16S ribosomal RNA". It matches the Rfam family "Bacterial small subunit ribosomal RNA", at positions 28 to 507 of the family's 1533-position model. The record is from RNAcentral.
GAUGAACGCUGGCGGCGUGCCUAAUACAUGCAAGUCGAGCGAACAGACGAGGAGCUUGCUCCUCUGACGUUAGCGGCGGACGGGUGAGUAACACGUGGAUAACCUACCUAUAAGACUGGGAUAACUUCGGGAAACCGGAGCUAAUACCGGAUAAUAUAUUGAACCGCAUGGUUCAAUAGUGAAAGACGGUUUUGCUGUCACUUAUAGAUGGAUCCGCGCCGCAUUAGCUAGUUGGUAAGGUAACGGCUUACCAAGGCAACGAUGCGUAGCCGACCUGAGAGGGUGAUCCGCCACACUGGAACUGAGCCACCGUCCAGACUCCUACGGGAGGCAGCAGUAGGGAAUCUUCCGCAAUGGGCGAAAGCCUUACGGAGCAACGCCGCGUGAGUGAUGAAGGUCUUCGGAUCGUAAAACCCUUUUUUUAGGGAAAAACCAAUGUGUAAGUAACUAUGCCCGUCUUGACGGUACCCAAUCAGAAAGCCACGGCUAACUACGUG